RNAcentral lists this unclassified non-coding RNA (372 nucleotides) under Hevea brasiliensis (rubber tree). Lineage: Eukaryota; Viridiplantae; Streptophyta; Magnoliopsida; Malpighiales; Euphorbiaceae. The record is from RNAcentral.
AGUAUUUUUUUUUUUUUUUUACAUCAUAAGAUUUUACAUUUUCAAGACCACAAGAAUGUUCUAAGCUAGGUUCAUCAAGAGGCAAAUUUAUCCUGACAAAAUGCAAAUAGCAGAACAUGUCAAUACUCAACGGCAACCCAACGACUUGACACAUUCUCUGCAUCUGUUGAAAUUGCGAAAGGCAUAAAAGCUCUAGUGAUCUUGUGAAUGAGAACAACAAAGAGAAUAGCAUGAAAAUGAUCACACCAGCUAAAUUGCAAAAUCGCCUCAAGCAAGGUACCAAAGAAAAUAAAUAACUUUUCAGCUAGCUUGUGUUGAAAUCAUCCUCGCUACUAACACAAAAUUUAGUAGGAUGAUGCACACUCUUCUACC